AAUCUGCCUGGUAGUGGGGGAUAACGUCCGGAAACGGACGCUAAUACCGCAUACGUCCUACGGGAGAAAGCAGGGGACCUUCGGGCCUUGCGCUAUCAGAUGAGCCUAGGUCGGAUUAUCUAGUUGGUGGGGUAAUGGCUCACCAAGGCGACAAUCCGUAACUGGUCUGAGAGGAUGAUCAGUCACACUGGAACUGAGACACGGUCCAGACUCCUACGGGAGGCAGCAGUGGGGAAUAUUGGACAAUGGGCGAAAGCCUGAUCCAGCCAUGCCGCGUGUGUGAAGAAGGUCUUCGGAUUGUAAAGCACUUUAAGUUGGGAGGAAGGGCGGUAAAUUAAUACUUUGCUGUUUUGACGUUACCGACAAAAUAAUCACCGGCUAACUCUGUGCCAGCAGCCGCGGUAAUACAGAGGGUGCAAGCGUUAAUCGGAAUUACUGG
RNAcentral lists this ribosomal RNA (439 nucleotides) under uncultured bacterium. RNAcentral describes it as "bacterial SSU rRNA". It matches the Rfam family "Bacterial small subunit ribosomal RNA", at positions 123 to 557 of the family's 1533-position model. The record is from RNAcentral.